CACGUAGGGGGCAAGCGUUGUCCGGAUUUAUUGGGCGUAAAGAGCUCGUAGGCGGCUCAGUAAGUCGGGUGUGAAACCUCCAGGCUCAACCUGGAGACGCCACCUGAUACUGCUGUGGCUAGAGUCCGGUAGGGGAGCGUGGAAUUCCUGGUGUAGCGGUGAAAUGCGCAGAUAUCAGGAGGAACACCAGCGGCGAAGGCGGCGCUCUGGGCCGGAACUGACGCUGAGGAGCGAAAGCGUGGGUAG
Molecule: ribosomal RNA, 246 nt
Filed under: uncultured bacterium
Lineage: Bacteria
Description: partial 16S ribosomal RNA
Rfam family: Bacterial small subunit ribosomal RNA
Source: RNAcentral